GGGAGUGUGGUUCAGUGGUAGAACAUUUGCCCAACAGGCAGAAGUCCUAGGUUUGAUACAUAGCAUUCCCA
Molecule: transfer RNA, 71 nt
Filed under: Rattus norvegicus (Norway rat)
Lineage: Eukaryota; Metazoa; Chordata; Mammalia; Rodentia; Muridae
Rfam family: tRNA
About the family: Transfer RNA (tRNA) molecules are approximately 80 nucleotides in length.
Source: Rfam by way of RNAcentral